Molecule: ribosomal RNA, 468 nt
Filed under: uncultured bacterium
Lineage: Bacteria
Description: partial 16S ribosomal RNA
Rfam family: Bacterial small subunit ribosomal RNA
Source: RNAcentral
GACGAACGCUGGCGGCGUGCUUAACACAUGCAAGUCGAACGGAAAGGCCCUGCUUUUGUGGGGUGCUCGAGUGGCGAUCGGGUGAGUAACACGUGAGUAACCUGCCCUUGACUUUGGGAUAACUUCAGGAAACUGGGGCUAAUACCGGAUACGAGCUCCUGCUGCAUGUUGGGGGUCGGAAAGUUUCGGCGGCUGGGGCUGGACUAGCGGCUUAGCAGCUUGUUGGUGGGGUAGUGGCUUACCAAGGCUUUGACGGGUAGCCGGCCUGAGAGGGUGACCGGCCACAUUGGGACUGAGAUACGGCCCAGACUCCUACGGGAGGCAGCAGUGGGGAAUAUUGCACGAUGGGCGGAAGCCUGAUGCAGCAACGCCGCGUGCGGGAUGACGGCCUUCGGGGUGUAAACCGCUUUCGCCUGUGACGAAGCGUGAGUGACGGUAAUGGGUAAAGAAGCACCGGCUAACUACGUG